This 259-nucleotide long non-coding RNA is filed under the name Sorghum bicolor (sorghum). Its description in RNAcentral is "long non-coding RNA (SBIC_LNC015573)". Lineage: Eukaryota; Viridiplantae; Streptophyta; Magnoliopsida; Poales; Poaceae. The record is from RNAcentral.
AAGCAACCUCAUUUGAGCAAAUAUAGUCCAUACCUAGCUAUUCUACUCUCUCUCUCUCAUGGUGAAACCCUAGAUCCAAAAAGUAGCUCUAAUUGAGCAAGAGGGCACAAAAGAGCCUUUAGAGGCAUCAACUAACCUUUCUUAGCCACCUCCUUCCAAGAAAUGAAGAUCAAAACCUCCCCCCUUGUAUUUUGGAAAAACUGGACCUCCAAGAUGUGCUCCAAUAGAAUGUGGCUGCGAGCUACAGUUCUACACGAGG